Molecule: long non-coding RNA, 338 nt
Filed under: Oryza sativa Indica Group (long-grained rice)
Lineage: Eukaryota; Viridiplantae; Streptophyta; Magnoliopsida; Poales; Poaceae
Description: lncRNA OsLiXu_08g0018720
Source: RNAcentral
UAUCGUUAUGUACAAGUCCUCACUUGUUGUCAAAUGUUUUGUCGUUUUUUUGUAUAAUCAGGAAUGCCUCUAAACUCGAAACUUUGCGUAUUAAGCUCUUUGAUGAUUCCACUCAAGACGAUGAAGUUGAUAAUGAUUUUCUAAAUGGACAGUGGACUGAUGACUUAUUCUCCAAUCUUAAAAGUGUUUACGUGAGAAAUAUGACGUGCAAGUUAAGUGAGAUGCAUUUUAUUGAGUUUAUUUUGUCAAAGGCAAGAAAUCUUGAAAAAAAUGAUGUCUGCCUAGCUGAAGAUUGUUCGAAAUCUAAUGAAGAGGCAGUUAUAGAACUUGCAAAAUAA